RNAcentral lists this ribosomal RNA (131 nucleotides) under uncultured bacterium. Its description in RNAcentral is "partial 16S ribosomal RNA". It matches the Rfam family "Bacterial small subunit ribosomal RNA", at positions 356 to 504 of the family's 1533-position model. The record is from RNAcentral.
GGGGAAUAUUGCACAAUGGGGGAAACCCUGAUGCAGCGACGCCGCGUGAGUGAAGAAGUAUUUCGGUAUGUAAAGCUCUAUCAGCAGGGAAGAAAAUGACGGUACCUGACUAAGAAGCCCCGGCUAACUCC